Molecule: ribosomal RNA, 3262 nt
Filed under: Clostridioides difficile
Lineage: Bacteria; Bacillati; Bacillota; Clostridia; Peptostreptococcales; Peptostreptococcaceae
Description: bacterial SSU rRNA
Rfam family: Bacterial small subunit ribosomal RNA (bases 2-870)
Source: RNAcentral
AGAGUUUGAUCCUGGCUCAGGAUGAACGCUGGCGGCGUGCCUAACACAUGCAAGUUGAGCGAUUUACUUCGGUAAAGAGCGGCGGACGGGUGAGUAACGCGUGGGUAACCUACCCUGUACACACGGAUAACAUACCGAAAGGUAUGCUAAUACGGGAUAAUAUAUUUGAGAGGCAUCUCUUGAAUAUCAAAGGUGAGCCAGUACAGGAUGGACCCGCGUCUGAUUAGCUAGUUGGUAAGGUAACGGCUUACCAAGGCGACGAUCAGUAGCCGACCUGAGAGGGUGAUCGGCCACAUUGGAACUGAGACACGGUCCAAACUCCUACGGGAGGCAGCAGUGGGGAAUAUUGCACAAUGGGCGAAAGCCUGAUGCAGCAACGCCGCGUGAGUGAUGAAGGCCUUCGGGUCGUAAAACUCUGUCCUCAAGGAAGAUAAUGACGGUACUUGAGGAGGAAGCCCCGGCUAACUACGUGCCAGCAGCCGCGGUAAUACGUAGGGGGCUAGCGUUAUCCGGAUUUACUGGGCGUAAAGGGUGCGUAGGCGGUCUUUCAAGUCAGGAGUGAAAGGCUACGGCUCAACCGUAGUAAGCUCUUGAAACUGGGAGACUUGAGUGCAGGAGAGGAGAGUGGAAUUCCUAGUGUAGCGGUGAAAUGCGUAGAUAUUAGGAGGAACACCAGUUGCGAAGGCGGCUCUCUGGACUGUAACUGACGCUGAGGCACGAAAGCGUGGGGAGCAAACAGGAUUAGAUACCCUGGUAGUCCACGCUGUAAACGAUGAGUACUAGGUGUCGGGGGUUACCCCCNGGCAGUCAUUUUGUUAUGGAAAAAUCACUUUAUUUCAGUAGAAAAUACACAUAAUAACAUAUUUUACCAAUUAUAACAUAAAAUAAAGAAAAAUUAUCUCAAAAAGUUACUAUUUUACAAAAAAUGACUUCUUUAUUUAUUUAAAUUAAUCGCAUUUCCAUUACAUUAAUACAAUAAUGUAUCAAUUUAGUAAGAAAACUAAUAUUUUUUUAAUGAAGUCCCAUGAAAAUAUAAAAAAAUUUUAAUAUGUAUUUAAAUAUUUCUUCGAAAAGUUGCUCUUUUUUGUAAAAUAGUAACUUUUUGAGAUAAUUUUUCUUUAUUUUAUGUUAUAAUUGGUAAAAUAUGUUAUUAUGUGUAUUUUCUACUGAAAUAAAGUGAUUUUUCCAUAACAAAAUGACUGCCAAAAAGGCAGUCAUUAUAGACUUUUCUUAGGUAUACAAUACACCUAGGACUCUUUUUGGCAACUGGCUGACAUAGUUUAUGUAUAUAAACCUUAGUCCCUAUAGCUUUGCGUCACUAGAUUUCUCUAGAUUUGCCUAUUUAGUUUUAACUUAAGUAUACAAUAAAUAACAAAUUUUUUAAAUAUCUUUUUUGUGUAUAAUUAAAUAUUUUAUUUUUUAAAUUUAAUUACCAAUAAUUACAAAGAUUAUAAACACUAUAGUUUACAAUUUUAUAAUAAACUCUUUGAAAAUAUUUUUAAUUUAUAAAAAUAUAAGACAAAUCUCAUCUUAAUUCUAUAUUUUUCCAUAUAUUUCAAUUUUAUUUGUACAAUAUAUCAAUAUUUAAAAAUGUCAAUUAACGAAACUUAAAUAAAUGAUAUAUAAAAAAUUUAUUUUUGAUAUUAUUAUGAGUAGUUUAAUAUUCAUUUAUAAUUUUAAUUAUAUAACUAACUUCUUCAUCUUCCAUACCGAUAAAUAAAGGUAUACUAACAACUUUAUCUGAAUAGUUCUCAGCUAUAUUAAAACUCCCCUUUUUAUAUCCCAAAUAAGCAUAUGCUUCAGAUAGAUGUGGUGGUAUCGGAUAAUGUAUUAUAGACUCUAUACCAUUUUUCUUUAAGUAUUCCAUAAAUGUAUCUCGUUUUUCAACUUGUAAAACAAAUAAAUGCCAUACAUGAGUACAAUUAUUUUCUAUCUUUGGAAGUAUGACUUUGGGAUUAUUAAUUUCAUUAAGAUAUCUAUCUACGAUUUUUGAUUUUUCAAUUUCAAUUUCAUUUAGAUAUUUAAGUUUUACUCUUAAUAAACCUGCCUGAAUUUCGUCCAAUCUUGAAUUAUAUCCGACAAAUUUAUUAUAAUAUCGCUUUUCUGAGCCAUAGUUUCUAAGAAUUUUCACUUUAUCAGCUAUUUCCUCAUUACUAGUUACUAUAGCUCCUGCAUCUCCAAAUGCACCCAAAUUUUUACUUGGAUAAAAACUAAAACAACCUAUAUCACCAAAUGUUCCUGUCAUUUUUCCAUCAUAUUUAGCUCCAUGAGAUUGAGCACAAUCUUCAAUUAAAUACAAGUUAUACUUAUCACAUAAUUCUUGUAUAUCUUUCAUAUUACUUGCUUGACCAUAUAAAUGCACUACUAAUAUAGCUUUUGUUUUGCUAUUUAUCUUUUCUUCUAUCUUAGAUGAAUCUAUAUUAUAAUAUUCAUUUGGUUCUACAAAUACUGGUGUUGCUCCAUUUAUACUGAUUCCCAUAACACUAGCAAUAUAUGUAUUUGAUUGCACGAUUACUUCAUCACCUUCGCUUAUUCCUAAUGCUCUAAAAGCAAUUAUCAGUGCAUCUAAACCACUGGCUAAACCAACACAAUAUUUGCUACCUACAUAGUUAGCAAAUUCUUCUUCAAAAUGCUUUACUUCAUUUCCAAGGAUAUAAUAUCCACUUUCCAUUACAUCCUUAAUCUUCUGUUCAUAUUCUUCUUUAUGGGUUUGGAACUGUUUUAAUAAAUUAUUAAAUUUAACCAACAAUAAAUUCACAUCCUAAUCUAUCUAUUCUCUAUGUGGCUAUCUUAAAUUUAUUUAAUUAAGAAAAUACAUCACUAACUGUAUAAUAACUACAUAUUAUUUAAAUACUUUAAAAAUUCUUUAUAGUCUCUAAUAUAAUCUUCUUCAUUAUAAUGUUCAGAUGCUAUAGAAAUUAAAACAGUUUUUUCAUCAAAAUCAAACAUCUCAUGCCACACUCCCGUUCCUAUAUAUAAUCCAACAUCAUUUUUAUGUAAAUUAAAUAUAGUCUCUUUUACACCAUCAUAACAUUUUAUCUUCACACUUCCAUUUAGGCAAACUAGUACUUGUUCCAAGUUUUUGUGUGCAUGAAAUCCUCUCUUUACAUUGUUUGGUACAUCAUAUAUGUAAUAAACUCUCUUUAUAUCAAAAGGUAUUGCUUUAUUUGAUUCUAAUGCAACUAAAUUUCCUAUAUAUUCGUUUCCAAUAGAUACGAACCUAAUUAAAUUAUAUUUAUCCAUAAAUUUAUCUAUCCUAUUC